CCUACGGGAGGCAGCAGUGGGGAAUCUUGCGCAAUGGGCGAAAGCCUGACGCAGCAACGCCGCGUGCGGGAAGAAGGCUUUCGGGCUGUAAACCGCUUUCAGCAGGAACGAAAAUGACGGUACCUGCAGAAGAAGGAGCGGCCAACUAUGUGCCAGCAGCCGCGGUGAUACAUAGGCUUCAAGCGUUGUCCGGAUUUAUUGGGCGUAAAGAGUUCGUAGGCGGUCGAGUAAGUCGGGUGUGAAAAUUCUGGGCUCAACCCAGAGACGCCACCCGAUACUGCUUGACUUGAGUUCGAUAGGGGAGUGGGGAAUUCCUAGUGUAGCGGUGAAAUGCGCAGAUAUUAGGAGGAACACCGGUGGCGAAGGCGCCACUCUGGAUCGAUACUGACGCUGAGGAACGAAAGCAUGGGUAGCAAACAGGAUUAGAUACCCUGGUAGUCCAUGCCGUAAACGGUGGGCACUAGGUGUGGGUUUCUAUUAACGAAAUCCGCGCCGUCGCUAACGCAUUAAGUGCCCCGCCUGGGGAUACGGUCGCAAGACUAAAACUCAAAGGAAUUGACGG
This 562-nucleotide ribosomal RNA is filed under the name uncultured bacterium. RNAcentral's name for it is "bacterial SSU rRNA". It matches the Rfam family "Bacterial small subunit ribosomal RNA", at positions 338 to 916 of the family's 1533-position model. The record is from RNAcentral.